This 262-nucleotide unclassified non-coding RNA is filed under the name plant metagenome. RNAcentral's name for it is "partial contains small subunit ribosomal RNA, internal transcribed spacer 1, and 5.8S ribosomal RNA". The record is from RNAcentral.
UCUCCGUUGGUGAACCAGCGGAGGGAUCAUUACCGAGUUUACAACUCCCAAACCCAAUGUGAACGUUACCAAACUGUUGCCUCGGCGGGAUCUCUGCCCCGGGUGCGUCGCAGCCCCGGACCAAGGCGCCCGCCGGAGGACCAACCAAAACUCUUUAUGUAUACCCCCUCGCGGGUUUUUUUACAAUCUGAGCCAUCUCGGCGCCCCUCGUGGGCGUUUCGAAAAUGAAUCAAAACUUUCAACAACGGAUCUCUUGGUUCUG